This 525-nucleotide ribosomal RNA is filed under the name uncultured bacterium. Its description in RNAcentral is "bacterial SSU rRNA". It matches the Rfam family "Bacterial small subunit ribosomal RNA", at positions 777 to 1308 of the family's 1533-position model. The record is from RNAcentral.
AAUAGAUACCCCGGUAGUCCACGCCGUAAACGAUGGAUACUAGCUGUUUGAGCGCAAGUUUGAGUGGCUAAGCGAAAGUGAUAAGUAUCCCACCUGGGGAGUACGGGCGCAAGCCUGAAACUCAAAGGAAUUGACGGGGGCCCGCACAAGCGGUGGAGCAUGUGGUUUAAUUCGAUGAUACGCGAGGAACCUUACCAGGGCUUAAAUGUAGAUUGACGUAUUUGGAAACAGAUAUUUCUUCGGACAAUUUACAAGGUGCUGCAUGGUUGUCGUCAGCUCGUGCCGUGAGGUGUCAGGUUAAGUCCUAUAACGAGCGCAACCCCCGUUGUUAGUUGCCAGCGAGUAAUGUCGGGAACUCUAGCAAGACUGCCAGUGUAAACUGUGAGGAAGGUGGGGAUGACGUCAAAUCAUCACGGCCCUUACGUCCUGGGCCACACACGUGCUACAAUGGCCGGUACAGAGAGCAGCCACUUAGCGAUAAGGAGCGAAUCUAUAAAGCCGGUCACAGUUCGGAUCGGAGUCUGC